Molecule: long non-coding RNA, 550 nt
Filed under: Triticum aestivum (bread wheat)
Lineage: Eukaryota; Viridiplantae; Streptophyta; Magnoliopsida; Poales; Poaceae
Description: long non-coding RNA (TAES_LNC006606)
Source: RNAcentral
GUGGAUCGAGUUGGAGAUCCGCCCAUUGAAGUUGAAGAUGAUGACUACAUUCAAGUUUAAGGAUGUGUUCAGGUGCUCGGUGUAAGAAUUUGUGUACUUGUCUAACUUUUUUUUUGUUGCAUUCCUUAAAUUCUGCUACUUGACUUUGUUGAUGAUCAAAAAAUUGUAACACUAGUUGGAUUUCCAUGUAUUAAAUAUAUUUGAGACAGAACAUCUUUGACAGCUGGUUGACAAGGACUUCAACAAAUUCAAGGUAAUAUGUUAGGAAUAUGAUUUAUGAAACUGUUUUCUAUUUUGACCAUGCAACUUCUUUUAAGUGGGUAUUAUUAUAUUUAUAUAGAUCAAGAGAAGAAGCUUCGUUGUUGUUGCAACUAUCUGCAGUAACCAAUUAUAUACCUGAAUCUGCACCCGAGAUGGUAUAUCACCUUUUGAACCUCUAAAAAUCUUGAAGUUGAAAAUAAAAAUUCAAGUUGUAUAGAUCAACAUGAUAAGACGAUGAAAAGAAAGUAUGGCAUAUAUCAUGGUGAUAAUAUCUCUAAGGAACAGUUUG